AACUACGAAGAGCUACCCUGAUCAAGCCUGAUCCUGUCUUAUCUCAGAAGCUAAGCACGGUCGGGCCUGGUUAGUACUUGGAUGGAAGACCACCUAGGAAGAUCAGAUGCUGUAGGCA
Molecule: ribosomal RNA, 118 nt
Organism: Pteropus vampyrus (large flying fox)
Lineage: Eukaryota; Metazoa; Chordata; Mammalia; Chiroptera; Pteropodidae
Source: Ensembl